UACGUAGGUGGCAAGCGUUGUCCGGAUUUAUUGGGUUUAAAGGGUGCGUAGGCGGUCCAUUAAGUCAGUUGUGAAAUCCGGCAGCUUAACUGUCGAGGUGCAAUUGAUACUGGAGGACUUGAGUACAGACGAGGUAGGCGGAAUUGACGGUGUAGCGGUGAAAUGCAUAGAGAUCGGGAAGAACACCGAUAGCGAAGGCAGCUUACUAGACUGGAACUGACGCUGAGGCGCGAAAGUGUGGGGAGCAAACAGG
Molecule: ribosomal RNA, 253 nt
Filed under: uncultured bacterium
Lineage: Bacteria
Description: partial 16S ribosomal RNA
Rfam family: Bacterial small subunit ribosomal RNA
Source: RNAcentral